GACGAACGCUGGCGGCGUGCUUAACACAUGCAAGUCGAACGGAAAGGCCCGGCUUUUGUUGGGUGCUCGAGUGGCGAACGGGUGAGUAACACGUGAGUAACCUGCCCUUGACUUUGGGAUAACUUCAGGAAACUGGGGCGAAUACCGGAGAGGAGCUCCUGAUGCAUGGGGGGGGUUGGAAAGUUUCGGCGGUUGGGGAUGGACUCGCGGCUUAUCAGCUUGUUGGUGGGGUAGUGGAUUACGAAGGCUUUGACGGGUAGCCGGCAUGAGAGCGUGACCGGCCACCUUGGGACUGCGAUACGGCCCAGACUGCUACGGGAGGCAGCAGUGGGGAAUAUUGCACAAUGGGCGGAAGCCUGAUGCAGAAACGCCGCGUGCGGGAUAACCGCCUUCGGGUUGUAAACCGCUUUCGACUGUGAUGAAGAGUGCGUGACGGUAAUGGGUCAAGAAGCAACGGCUAACUACGUG
RNAcentral lists this ribosomal RNA (468 nucleotides) under uncultured bacterium. RNAcentral's name for it is "partial 16S ribosomal RNA". It matches the Rfam family "Bacterial small subunit ribosomal RNA", at positions 28 to 507 of the family's 1533-position model. The record is from RNAcentral.